GCCGAUGUAGCUCAAUGGUAGAGCACGGCUUUCGUAAAGCCGGGGUUGUGGGUUCAACUCCCACCAUCGGCU
Molecule: transfer RNA, 72 nt
Filed under: Phycisphaerales bacterium
Lineage: Bacteria; Pseudomonadati; Planctomycetota; Phycisphaerae; Phycisphaerales
Description: tRNA-Thr
Rfam family: tRNA
About the family: Transfer RNA (tRNA) molecules are approximately 80 nucleotides in length. Their secondary structure includes four short double-helical elements and three loops (D, anti-codon, and T loops).
Source: RNAcentral